UUUAUUUUUAACUUCUCGUCAAGGAAAGCAAGAAAAAAGGAAAAUAUUCAGCCCGUUGCCCGUUCACUCGUUUCGUUUAAUCGUUGAACAUCGUGUGUUCUUCAUCGGGCAAUGCAGUGUUGCCAGCGCUUGAAAUUGAAGUUGAUUUGUAAACAAAAUAUCCGGUUACUCGUUCAUUGUUCCUUUACGAGAAUUUUGUCACAAUAAUCCAAAAAUGUCGGAAACUAUAGUUUUACGGCUAAAAGAGUAUUCUUAAAUACCAAAGGAUGAACUCUUCCGAAAUUUAUAAAACCAACAACUUAUGUAAAUUGUUACUACUUAACCAAUGUGUCAAUCAAAUCGCAAACAUGUAAUUUUACUUUACUCCAGUAUUUAUUUUUUGUUAAAAUAUUAUUUAAAAAAAUGUUUUUCUCCAUAUUCUCAAGCUCUGCCUCGUGGUGGGUGGAAAUGCAAGUGCAGGGAGGCCAUAUAGAAAUUGGUUCUAAGAAUGACGUAUCAUAGUGCAAGAAUUGACGAUUUAAUAAUCGUGAAUGCAAGAGAAAAACCUUCUACGCAAUUAGUCUUUUAAAACGUUGAUUUUACAAUCAACAUUAAAAGUUAUUAAUAUACC
Long non-coding RNA from Zeugodacus cucurbitae (melon fly), 610 nucleotides. RefSeq lists it as uncharacterized. NCBI's taxonomy places the organism in Eukaryota, Metazoa, Arthropoda, Insecta, Diptera, Tephritidae. The record is from RefSeq and is a predicted model, not a curated record. The transcript is spliced from 3 exons.